Molecule: long non-coding RNA, 422 nt
Filed under: Homo sapiens (human)
Lineage: Eukaryota; Metazoa; Chordata; Mammalia; Primates; Hominidae
Description: HSALNT0349059
Source: RNAcentral
GAAGAACAGGUUGGAAUGCAGAGAAAGAAAGUGAAAAAGAAUAAGAGAAGGUGGAAAAAUUUGAAAACUUUAAGCAAUAUUUGGGGAAUUGUGAAUGCCUCCAGUUGUGGGGCUACAUUACAAUGCUUUCUUUCUUUCUUUUUUUUUUUUGGAGAUGGAGUCUCGCUCUGUUGCCCAGGCUGGAGUGCAGCGGCAUGAUCUCGGCUCACUGCAAGCUCUGCCUCCCAGGUUCACGCCAUUCUCCUGCCUCAGCCUCCCGAGUAGCUGGGAUUACAGGCACCCGCCACCACGCCCGGCUAAUUUUUUUGUAUUUUUAGUAGAGACGGGGUUUCACCGUGUUAGCCAGGAUGGUCUCGAUCUCCUGACCUCGUGAUCCGCCCGCCUCGGCCUCCCAAAGUGCUGGGAUUACAGGCUUGAGCCAC